AUGUGAAAAGGGAAGGUGGAAACUAAGAAACAGACUCAGAGAUGGGGUAAAGACGGCAGGCAGCGGAGACAGCUUCGUAGUACAGGGCCUCUAAGGAGUAAGAUACUCUGCCUGGAGACUUGUCACAGUGCUCCACGGUGGGACCAGCCACGUGCGGAGCAAGGCGGAACUUUUUUAUUUUUAAGGUCUUAAUUUUAUUUUACUUUAUUUUAUUUAUGUAGAAAAACUAGCAUGAACCACUGGCAGCACGCUCAGCUUGGAUUUCCGGAUCAGACCGGGGCGGUUAGAGCAAGAACCCUGGCCGAAUUUCUGUCGGCGACUUCAGUAGAACUGCUGGUGGCCCAUCCUGCCUUCCGACUGCCAAUGAGGAAAAAGGAGUGAGCUAGCGCAUGCAUAUGCUCUUCCCAAAACACGCCGAGGAUACUGACAAUAAAGAAACAAAAGCGGAAGCAUAAAGGAUGAAAAAGAACUCCGAAGACAUAGUCGUUUAAAGUUAAUAAUGUAGGGGCCAGUGAGAUGGCCCAGCAGGCAAGGGUGUUUGCUGCCAAAUCUGACUUUGCUCGUUCAGUCCCCAGAUCACAUCCCACGUGGGGGAAAGAGAGAACCAACGGACUCCUACCAGUGUGGUCUUCGACCUCCACACUCCUGCUACGGGGAUGUGCAUGUUCACAUGUGUGCUAAAUAAAUGAAUGUGUAUAUGUCAGUUCCAAAAGC
Molecule: long non-coding RNA, 714 nt
Filed under: Mus pahari (shrew mouse)
Lineage: Eukaryota; Metazoa; Chordata; Mammalia; Rodentia; Muridae
Description: lncRNA (MGP_PahariEiJ_G0004457.1)
Source: RNAcentral